This 372-nucleotide ribosomal RNA is filed under the name uncultured organism. RNAcentral describes it as "bacterial SSU rRNA". It matches the Rfam family "Bacterial small subunit ribosomal RNA", at positions 526 to 896 of the family's 1533-position model. The record is from RNAcentral.
CAGAGGGUGCGAACGUUGCUCGGAAUUACUGGGCGUAAAGCGCGUGUAGGCGGAACGAUAAGUCGGAAGUGAAAUCCCCGGGCUCAACCCGGGAACUGCUUUCGAAACUGCCGUUCUCGAGUACCGGAGAGGGUGGCGGAAUUCCUGGUGUAGAGGUGAAAUUCGUAGAUAUCAGGAGGAACACCGGUGGCGAAGGCGGCCACCUGGACGGUCACUGACGCUGAGACGCGAAAGCGUGGGGAGCAAACAGGAUUAGAUACCCUGGUAGUCCACGCCGUAAACGAUGGGUGCUGGGUGUCGCGGGUAUUGACCCCCGCGGUGCCGUAGCCAACGCGUUAAGCACCCCGCCUGGGAAGUACGGCCGCAAGGCUA